AUUGAACGCUGGCGGCAGGCCUCACACAUGCAAGUCGAGCGGAGUGGCGGACGGGAGAGUAAUGCCUAUGAAUCUGCCUGGCAGUGGGGGAUAACGUCCGGCGACGGGCGCUAAUACCGCAUACUAUCAUUUGAGCAUCGGUCGGAUUCGCUAGUUGGUGUGGUAAAGGCCUACAAAGGCGACGAUCCGUAACUGGUCUGAGAGGAUGAUCAGUCACACUGGAACUGAGACAGGGUCCAGACUCCUACGGGAGGCAGCAGUGGGGAAUAUUGGACAAUGGGCGAAAUCCUGAUCCAGCCAUGACGCGUGUGUGAAGAAGGUCUUCGGAUUGUAAAGCACUUUAAGUUGGGAGGCGUUACCAACAGAAUAAGCACCGGCUAACUUCGUGCCAGCAGCCGCGGUAAUAC
RNAcentral lists this ribosomal RNA (407 nucleotides) under uncultured bacterium. Its description in RNAcentral is "partial 16S ribosomal RNA". It matches the Rfam family "Bacterial small subunit ribosomal RNA", at positions 30 to 526 of the family's 1533-position model. The record is from RNAcentral.